AACGAACGCUGGCGGCAUGCCUAACACAUGCAAGUCGAACGAGCCCUUCGGGUCUAGUGGCGCACGGGUGCGUAACGCGUGGGAACCUGCCCUUAGGUUCGGAAUAACUCCCCGAAAGGGGUGCUAAUACCGGAUAAUGUCUUCGGACCAAAGAUUUAUCGCCUUUGGAUGGGCCCGCGUUGGAUUAGCUAGUUGGUAGGGUAAAAGCCUACCAAGGCGACGAUCCAUAGCUGGUCUGAGAGGAUGAUCAGCCACACUGGGACUGAGACACGGCCCAGACUCCUACGGGAGGCAGCAGUGGGGAAUAUUGGACAAUGGGCGAAAGCCUGAUGCAGCAAUGCCGCGUGAGUGAUGAAGGUCUUAGGGUUGUAAAGCUCUUUUACCCGGGAUGAUAAUGACAGUACCGGGAGAAUAAGCUCCGGCUAACUCCGUG
This 433-nucleotide ribosomal RNA is filed under the name uncultured bacterium. RNAcentral's name for it is "partial 16S ribosomal RNA". It matches the Rfam family "Bacterial small subunit ribosomal RNA", at positions 29 to 507 of the family's 1533-position model. The record is from RNAcentral.